RNAcentral lists this ribosomal RNA (573 nucleotides) under uncultured bacterium. RNAcentral describes it as "bacterial SSU rRNA". It matches the Rfam family "Bacterial small subunit ribosomal RNA", at positions 920 to 1504 of the family's 1533-position model. The record is from RNAcentral.
CCCGCACAAGCGGUGGAGCAUGUGGUUUAAUUCGAUGAUACGCGAGGAACCUUACCAGGGCUUAAAUGUAGUCUGACAGGUCUGGAAACAGACUUUUCUUCGGACAGAUUACAAGGUGCUGCAUGGUUGUCGUCAGCUCGUGCCGUGAGGUGUCAGGUUAAGUCCUAUAACGAGCGCAACCCCUGUGGUUAGUUGCCAGCGAGUAAUGUCGGGAACUCUAGCCAGACUGCCGGUGCAAACCGCGAGGAAGGUGGGGAUGACGUCAAAUCAUCACGGCCCUUACGUCCUGGGCCACACACGUGCUACAAUGGUAGGGACAGAGAGCAGCCACUUCGCGAGAAGGAGUGAAUCUACAAACCCUAUCACAGUUCGGAUCGCAGUCUGCAACUCGACUGCGUGAAGCUGGAAUCGCUAGUAAUCGCAUAUCAGCCAUGAUGCGGUGAAUACGUUCCCGGGCCUUGUACACACCGCCCGUCAAGCCAUGGAAGCCGGGGGUACCUGAAGUCGGUCACCGCAAGGAGCCGCCUAGGGUAAAACUGGUAACUGGGGCUAAGUCGUAACAAGGUAACCGUA